Molecule: ribosomal RNA, 245 nt
Filed under: uncultured bacterium
Lineage: Bacteria
Description: partial 16S ribosomal RNA
Rfam family: Bacterial small subunit ribosomal RNA
Source: RNAcentral
UACGUAGGUGGCAAGCGUUGUCCGGAUUUACUGGGCGUAAAGAGCGCGCAGGCGGUCGUACAAGUCGCGUGUGAAAGCCCCCGGCUCAACUGGGGAGGGUCACGCGAUACUGUUCGACUCGAAGGCAGGAGAGGGAAGUGGAAUUCCCGGUGUAGUGGUGAAAUGCGUAGAUAUCGGGAGGAACACCAGUGGCGAAGGCGGGUCUCUGGGCCGUAACUGACGCUGAGGAGCGAAAGCAUGGGGAG